Molecule: ribosomal RNA, 443 nt
Filed under: uncultured Thermocladium sp.
Lineage: Archaea; Thermoproteati; Thermoproteota; Thermoprotei; Thermoproteales; Thermoproteaceae
Description: bacterial SSU rRNA
Rfam family: Archaeal small subunit ribosomal RNA
Source: RNAcentral
GUCAACCUACCCUAUGGACGGGAAUAACCUCGGGAAACUGAGAAUAAUACCCGAUAUACCAUCAUGCCUGGAACGGUUGGUGGUUAAAAUGAUUCGUCGCCCUAGGAUGGGACUGCGACCUAUCAACUUGUUGGUGGGGUAAAGGCCCACCAAGGCGAUUACAGGUACGGGCUCUGAGAGGAGAAGCCCGGAGAUGGGUACUGAGACAAGGACCCAGGCCCUAUGGGGCGCAGCAGGCGAGAAAACUUUGCAAUGUGCGAAAGCACGACAAGGUUAAUCCGAGUGAUUUCUGCUAAAGGAAUCUUUUGCCAGUUCUAAAAAUACUAGUGAAUAAGGGGUGGGCAAGUUCUGGUGUCAGCCGCCGCGGUAAAACCAGCACCUCAAGUGGUCAGGAGGAUUAUUGGGCCUAAAGCAUCCGUAGCCGGCUCUGUAAGUUUUCGGUU